GAUGAACGCUGGCGGCGUGCCUAAUACAUGCAAGUCGAGCGAACGGACGAGAAGCUUGCUUCUCUGAUGUUAGCGGCGGACGGGUGAGUAACACGUGGAUAACCUACCUAUAAGACUGGGAUAACUUCGGGAAACCGGAGCUAAUACCGGAUAAUAUUUUGAACCGCAUGGUUCAAAAGUGAAAGACGGUCUUGCUGUCACUUAUAGAUGGAUCCGCGCUGCAUUAGCUAGUUGGUAAGGUAACGGCUUACCAAGGCAACGAUGCAUAGCCGACCUGAGAGGGUGAUCGGCCACACUGGAACUGAGACUCGGUCCAGACUCCUACGGGAGGCAGCAGUAGGGAAUCUGCCGCAAUGGGCGAAAGCCUGACGGAGCAACGCCGCGUGAGUGAUGAAGGUCUUCGGAUCGUAAAACUCUGUUAUUAGGGAAGAACAUAUGUGUAAGUAACUGUGCACAUCGUGACGGUACCUAAUCAGAAAGCCACGGCUAACUACGUG
This 497-nucleotide ribosomal RNA is filed under the name uncultured bacterium. RNAcentral's name for it is "partial 16S ribosomal RNA". It matches the Rfam family "Bacterial small subunit ribosomal RNA", at positions 28 to 507 of the family's 1533-position model. The record is from RNAcentral.